Molecule: long non-coding RNA, 575 nt
Filed under: Homo sapiens (human)
Lineage: Eukaryota; Metazoa; Chordata; Mammalia; Primates; Hominidae
Description: non-protein coding RFX3-AS1:4
Source: RNAcentral
CCUUGUGCUAGGACAUUAUAGAAUCAGUUUUAAGCUGCUUAAAUUUUUUUUUUUUUUUUUUUUUUUUUUUUUUGCCUUACAGAUUUGGUCUUUUCCAGAGUUAGGAAUAGAUAAAUUUCCUGAAGUUAAUUCUUGAAAAUUUAGAAUUUAGAAUAUUUUCCCAUGUUUUAGGAUACUUGAUGAUGAUACAAUUCUAACCAUAUUGAGGUUAAUAUUUGAAAUGUUAGUGUUACUGCCUGAUAGGGUUUGGCUUUGUGUCCCCACCCAACUCUCAUGUGAAAUCGUAAUCCGAAAGUGUUGAAGGAGGGGCCCUGUGGGAGAUGAUUGGAUCCUGGGGGCAGUUUCUGAUGGUUUAGCACCAUCCCACUAGUGCUGUUUCAAGAGUGACUUCUCACGAGAUCUGCUUGUUUAAAAAUAUUUACCACUACCCCUCUCUCACCUGCCACAAUGUGAAGAAAGUCCUUGUACCCUUCGCCUUCCGCCAUAAUGGCAGGGGCAUCCAGUGGUUCAAGGUUACAAUAAGCUGUGAUCGUGCCACUGCAUUCUACCUGGGAUGACAGAGUGGGACCCUGUGC